Molecule: non-coding RNA, 1065 nt
Organism: Parasteatoda tepidariorum (common house spider)
Lineage: Eukaryota; Metazoa; Arthropoda; Arachnida; Araneae; Theridiidae
Source: RefSeq, a predicted model, not a curated record
UAGGUCUUUUCUAAUUCUUAAUACGUAGCAACGGAUGUUAUAUCAAAUUUUUAUAUCAUUCAGAGAAAGUACGUUUUCUUAAUUUUUUAUUUUUUUUUGUCUGAUUUUGUACUUUUACAUAUCGUCUGCACAAACUGAUUAACAAAUUUACGAUUAAACCUCGCAUAAAUUAUGUGAAAAUCCGAUAACUAUAUCAAAAGUUAUUAAAAAGUAAGUUUUUCGCCCUUCAAAAGUAUAAAAAGUAAGCUUUUUACGCCCAGUACAUAUAUACCAUCUUUGAUAUAUAACCUAAAGACUAUUAGAUGUGAUUCAUAGUUCCUUGAGUAUUCUUCAAAAUGGGAGUAAUUUUAUUUUAUUUAUUUAUUUUUUGUUCCUUAAUUCCUCAUAACUCAAUAAAAUUUUCGUUCUAUCUUAUCUAAAAUAUCUUAUCUAUCUUAUCUUGAACUUUUUGAAAUUCCUUUAAAGUUACGUAAAAAAAUUUCUGCUCUCGUUUUCACAGUUGGAAUAAAUAUAUUUACACCAUAUAAAUAUGCAUUUUUAAUCAAAAAUUCUAACAACAUAUACAAAAGCAACAUCAUUUUGAAAUCAUAGAUUUAAUUUAAAUACGAACUUUUAAAAAUAAACUUUCUGUCUAAAAGCGAAGUUUCUUGACUCCUUAAAAUUUCCUCAAAGUUCCCACCAAACAUUGGAAUGAAAUCCAAAAUAUCGAAGCAACUUGGGUGAAUGAUCGAAGUGUAAAAGCAUUUCCCUGCAUUUUUUAACAGCAGUUUUAUGUAAGGUAAUUCUUCCGCAGUAAGUGCAUAGAAUAGUUCAACGAACUAGCCCAACCAAAGGGUUCAACGUUUAAAAAAAUUUGUCUACACCCUUUCCCUUUAAGUGAUGUCGGAAAUGGCUCACCUGUUGAAACCCCCAAUCGCAUCUGGAGUCAUUGCGCCCCAAGAAAUUCUCCAGUUCUCUUCCAUCAUCUCAUAUCUCCAGUUGCGCAGAAACAUCAGAAAACUAGGGCGGCAUCAACAACAACGCAAUCUUCCUCCACUUAACCCUUUGAUCACAGUCCAAACGAAA